Molecule: transfer RNA, 72 nt
Filed under: Trialeurodes vaporariorum (greenhouse whitefly)
Lineage: Eukaryota; Metazoa; Arthropoda; Insecta; Hemiptera; Aleyrodidae
Description: tRNA-Gly for anticodon ACC
Rfam family: tRNA
About the family: Transfer RNA (tRNA) molecules are approximately 80 nucleotides in length. Their secondary structure includes four short double-helical elements and three loops (D, anti-codon, and T loops). Further hydrogen bonds mediate the characteristic L-shaped molecular structure. tRNAs have two regions of fundamental functional importance: the anti-codon, which is responsible for specific mRNA codon recognition, and the 3' end, to which the tRNAs corresponding amino acid is attached (by aminoacyl-tRNA synthetases). tRNAs cope with the degeneracy of the genetic code in two manners: having more than one tRNA (with a specific anti-codon) for a particular amino acid; and 'wobble' base-pairing, i.e. permitting non-standard base-pairing at the 3rd anti-codon position.
Source: RNAcentral
GGCAGUGUAGCCUAGUGGUAAAGUGCUGGACCACCAAUCGGGAGGUUGUGGGUUCGAACCCCACCCCGGGCA